CCGAGUGAGGGCCUCCGGGCCCGACCUCCAACCCUUUGUGAACACACCCGUUGCUUCGGGGGCGACCCUGCCGUUUCGACGGCGAGCGCCCCCGGAGGUCUUCCAACACUGCAUCUUUGCGUCGGAGUUUAAGGAAUGAAACCA
This 144-nucleotide unclassified non-coding RNA is filed under the name soil metagenome. Its description in RNAcentral is "partial internal transcribed spacer 1". The record is from RNAcentral.